Molecule: ribosomal RNA, 253 nt
Filed under: uncultured bacterium
Lineage: Bacteria
Description: partial 16S ribosomal RNA
Rfam family: Bacterial small subunit ribosomal RNA
Source: RNAcentral
UACGAAGGGGGCUAGCGUUGCUCGGAAUCACUGGGCGUAAAGGGUGCGUAGGCGGGUUUUUAAGUCAGGGGUGAAAUCCUGGAGCUCAACUCCAGAACUGCCUUUGAUACUGAAGAUCUUGAGUCCGGGAGAGGUGAGUGGAACUGCGAGUGUAGAGGUGAAAUUCGUAGAUAUUCGCAAGAACACCAGUGGCGAAGGCGGCUCACUGGACAUGUAUUGACGCUGAGGUGCGAAAGCGUGGGGAGCAAACAGG